Molecule: non-coding RNA, 21 nt
Filed under: Caenorhabditis elegans
Lineage: Eukaryota; Metazoa; Nematoda; Chromadorea; Rhabditida; Rhabditidae
Source: RNAcentral
UGAAAUUGUUGUUAAGGAACA